UUUUAAUUUCGUAACAGGUAUAUGAAGGUGACAGAAGUCUCACAAAGAACUGCAGGCUUCUUAGAACAUUUGAUCCCUCCGGAAUCCUUCUAGCUCCAAGGGGCACCCCACAAGGCCACAAAUCUAAGUCACAUUCGAAGUAAACACCAGUAUAUUAAACAUGAAGGCAGAAUACAAUGUGGGUGGCAAAUUUGGAAAAGAUCACAUUCACCGAUCAGAAGGGU
Long non-coding RNA from Helianthus annuus (common sunflower), 224 nucleotides. RefSeq lists it as uncharacterized. The record is from RefSeq and is a predicted model, not a curated record. The transcript is spliced from 2 exons. NCBI's taxonomy places the organism in Eukaryota, Viridiplantae, Streptophyta, Magnoliopsida, Asterales, Asteraceae.